Molecule: small RNA, 117 nt
Filed under: Macaca mulatta (Rhesus monkey)
Lineage: Eukaryota; Metazoa; Chordata; Mammalia; Primates; Cercopithecidae
Also listed under: 1 other name
Description: Metazoan signal recognition particle RNA (ENSMMUG00000057982.1)
Source: Rfam by way of RNAcentral
GCCGGGCAUGGUGGCUCAUGCCUGUAAUCCUAGCACUUUGGGAGGCCGAGGCAGGUGGAUCACCUGAGGUCAGGAGUUCGAGACCAGCCUGGCCAACAUGGUGAAACCCCGUCUCUA